Molecule: ribosomal RNA, 385 nt
Filed under: uncultured bacterium
Lineage: Bacteria
Description: bacterial SSU rRNA
Rfam family: Bacterial small subunit ribosomal RNA
Source: RNAcentral
AACGAACGCUGGCGGCAGGCCUAACACAUGCAAGUCGAGCGCUCACUUCGGUGGGAGCGGCGGACGGGUUAGUAACGCGUGGGAACGUGCCCUUCUCUACGGAAUAGCCAUUGGAAACGAUGAGUAAUACCGUAUACGCCCUUCGGGGAAAGAUUUAUCGGAGAAGGAUCGGCCGCGUUAGAUUAGAUAGUUGGUGGGUAACGGCCUACCAAGUCUACGAUCUAUAGCUGGUUUUAGAGGAUGAUCAGCAACACUGGGACUGAGACACGGCCCAGACUCCUACGGAGCAGCAGUGGGAAUCUAGACAAUGGGCGCAAGCCUGAUCUAGCCAUGCCGCGUGAGUGAUGAAGGCCCUAGGGUCUAAAGCUCUUUCGCCAGGGAUGAU